This 254-nucleotide ribosomal RNA is filed under the name uncultured bacterium. Its description in RNAcentral is "partial 16S ribosomal RNA". It matches the Rfam family "Bacterial small subunit ribosomal RNA", at positions 524 to 776 of the family's 1533-position model. The record is from RNAcentral.
UACGGAGGGUGCGAGCGUUGUCCGGAAUCACUGGGCGUAAAGGGCGCGUAGGCGGCCUGGCAAGUCGGUGGUGAAAGCCCGUGGCUCAACUACGGGUCGGCCACCGAUACUGCUAUGGCUCGAGUUUGGUAGAGGCAGAUGGAAUUCCGGGUGUAGCGGUGGAAUGCGUAGAGAUCCGGAGGAAGACCGGUGGCGAAGGCGGUCUGCUGGGCAGUUUCUGACACUGAGGCGCGACAGCGUGGGGAGCAAACAGG